This 242-nucleotide ribosomal RNA is filed under the name uncultured bacterium. Its description in RNAcentral is "partial 16S ribosomal RNA". It matches the Rfam family "Bacterial small subunit ribosomal RNA", at positions 535 to 776 of the family's 1533-position model. The record is from RNAcentral.
CUAGCGUUGUUCGGAUUUACUGGGCGUAAAGCGCACGUAGGCGGAUCGAUCAGUCAGGGGUGAAAUCCCAGAGCUCAACUCUGGAACUGCCUUUGAUACUGUCGAUCUGGAGUAUGGAAGAGGUGAGUGGAAUUCCGAGUGUAGAGGUGAAAUUCGUAGAUAUUCGGAGGAACACCAGUGGCGAAGGCGGCUCACUGGUCCAUUACUGACGCUGAGGUGCGAAAGCGUGGGGAGCAAACAGG